GGAAUGACCUCCUACACAGCCCGAGAGCCCACACCGGUGACACCCUCCUGAAGGCCUUCCAGACUGCAUUCUGCACCCUGCAUGCCAGUUACAGACGGAGAGUCCCCUCGCAGUGGGGCCCGGCAAGCACCCUGGAGGUGAACGUCACCGGUACGCGCACAGUGGGACAUCGCUCAGCCGAAGGGCGGAAGGAGCUCCCGCCGUAUGCAGGGACACAGAUAAACAAAAGCUGAGAAUUCUAUGCCAGGAGACCCACCCUACAGGGAACAUUACAGAAUGUUCUUAAGACUAAAGGA
Molecule: long non-coding RNA, 296 nt
Organism: Prionailurus viverrinus (fishing cat)
Lineage: Eukaryota; Metazoa; Chordata; Mammalia; Carnivora; Felidae
Exons: 3
Source: RefSeq, a predicted model, not a curated record